UCCAAGAAACGAAAGAAUUCG
Molecule: microRNA, 21 nt
Filed under: Tribolium castaneum (red flour beetle)
Lineage: Eukaryota; Metazoa; Arthropoda; Insecta; Coleoptera; Tenebrionidae
Description: tca-miR-3880-5p
Source: miRBase by way of RNAcentral